UACUGCUAUCAGUGUUCGAUUAAGCCAUGCGAGUUAAAUGUUCUUCGUGAACAUGGCGUACUGCUCANUAACACGUGGAUAACCUGCCCUAAGGUCCGGCAUAACCCCGGGAAACUGGGGAUAAUACCGGAUAAACCAUAGAUACUGGAAUGUUCUGUGGUUCAAAGUUCCGGCGCCUUAGGAUGGAUCUGCGGCCUAUCAGGUAGUAGUGGGUGUAAAGUACCUACUAGCCGACGACGGGUACGGGUUGUGAGAGCAAGAGCCCGGAGAUGGAUUCUGAGACAUGAAUCCAGGCCCUACGGGGCGCAGCAGGCGCGAAAUCUUUACAAUGCGGGAAACCGCGAUAAGGGGACACUGAGUGCCAGCAUAUUAUGUUGGCUGUCCACCUGUAUAAAUCACAGGUGUUAGCAAGGGCCGGGCAAGACCGGUGCCAGCCGCCGCGGUAACACCGGCGGCCCGAGUGGUAGCCACUAUUAUUGGGUCUAAAGGGUCCGUAGCCGGUUUGAUCAGUCUUCCGGGAAAUCUGACAGCUCAACUGUUAGGCUUCCGGGAGAUACUGUCA
This 562-nucleotide ribosomal RNA is filed under the name uncultured archaeon. RNAcentral describes it as "bacterial SSU rRNA". It matches the Rfam family "Archaeal small subunit ribosomal RNA", at positions 25 to 589 of the family's 1478-position model. The record is from RNAcentral.